GGACACAAAAAGUUUCUGGCGAGAAUAACAGGUUACUUCUUUCCGAGUGAGUCUGGAAAACCCCUCAAUCGCUCUGAGAUCCUUGUUUUGGGGGGAAAACAAGGGACGGGAGAGAGAAAAAAUUGUGAUUGAAGAAGAGAAUGGGUUCGGGAUCUUUCCUCAAGGUUGUAGCCAAGAACUUCGAUGUUCUUGCCGGGCCGGUGGUGACACUUGUUUACCCUUUGUAUGCUUCGGUCAAGGCAAUAGAAACGAAAUCUCCUGUUGAUGAUCAGCAAUGGCUCACUUAUUGGGUCUUGUAUUCUUUUAUUACUCUGUUUGAAAUGACUUUUGCCAAAGUGAUCGAAUGGCUUCCUUUCUGGUCCUAUGCAAAGCUGAUCUUCAACUGCUGGUUGGUCUUACCCUACUUCAAUGGUGCUGCAUAUGUCUAUGAACAUUUUGUGCGGCCGGUUUUUGUCAACCAUCAAACGGUGAACAUUUGGUAUUUCCCAAAGAAGAGGAACUUCUUUAGUAAACAAGAUGAUGUUUUAUCAGCUGCAGAAAGAUAUAUUGAAGAGAACGGACCAGAAGCAUUUGAAAAGCUCAUAAGCAAGAUUGGUAGUAUGGAUUUUUAGCCCUCGUCAGAUGGAGAAUGCUUACUGGAUCAGAUGUCAUGUUUUGCAGUCUGAGAGGGUAUCAAAGGCCAGGAACAACCGCCGUUCAAUUUUAGAGGAGGUGGAAGCUGAAAGAGAAUCAAAGCCCUGGAGUGAAAAUUAUGCUCCUAUCUUUGAUGAUGAUCAUCGAUACUAAAGCAAAGAUUUCUUUUGUUGUCUCCAGUAGUGUACUAAAGCAAGCGUGAUGAUGGGGUUUAUCAUCGGUCUCAGAAUCGACUCUUACCUGUCUGACUUCAUGAGAUAGUUACCGUUUUUUUUUUUCUGUUUGAUAUGUCUAUAUCUGUUGUCCAAGAUGUCUAAGCUUUGGAAAGCAAGACCUCCCUUUCUUGUGAUUCGAGUCUAGAACUCAGUAUAUAUCCUCUUUAUACUCAUGUAACUAUGUAUCCUCUUUAUACUCAUGUAACUAUGUAGUAUUUUCAGGUUUUAUUUGAUGUUUUAUAGAAGCCAUAAUCAAUCCAGAUUCUUGACGGAACUUUGACUAGUUU
Non-coding RNA from Elaeis guineensis (African oil palm), 1135 nucleotides. The record is from RefSeq and is a predicted model, not a curated record. Lineage: Eukaryota; Viridiplantae; Streptophyta; Magnoliopsida; Arecales; Arecaceae.